Molecule: long non-coding RNA, 1313 nt
Filed under: Capsella grandiflora
Lineage: Eukaryota; Viridiplantae; Streptophyta; Magnoliopsida; Brassicales; Brassicaceae
Description: long non-coding RNA (CGRA_LNC001384)
Source: RNAcentral
GAAACAGCACACGAGAGGCGGAUCGUCGUAAGGAAACUCGAUCCCGAUCGUCGUAAUCCUCUAACUCCGGAUUCAAUUCAGGACCAGUCUCGAUAGUACCCUUCUCGAUGUCAUGUUUCUCAAUCACUGUCGAGGAUUGCUUCUUCUUCCUUCCUUUGCGACUAGGUUUAGCUGCGGUUUCCGCUGCUGCUCCGAUUGUGAUUCCGCCAUUAAUUGAAGCUCUCGGGGAGAGGAAUUGCCUUGGUUUUGGUGAAUUUCGAGCUACCACAAUCUCUCUACGAUCUAGCGAAGAAUCAAAAAGGUGAAGGUGAGGAAAAAGAAGAAGUGAAGCGCCAUUGGGAGGGUUUUUUACUUCGAUGUCAGGGUUUAUCCAAAUCUUCCUCUUUUGAAUCAUAUCGGGUCCUGACCCGACUUCUAUUCUAAUCGGGUCAACCCAUGAAAACCCGGUUCCGGUUAUUUUCCUUUUUUUUUUUCUUACGGCUGAAGAAUCAGUUUAGAUUUUAGAAGGAGAAACAAAUAAAACCCUCCACAAAGAUCUCACCGACGAUUUGAUUUCGCUCGUUCUCAGGCCAUCCUCACCGCCGGAACAAUUUUUAUAAGGUAAUCUCGCACUCGAUUCAGCUCCAGGAUUUCUAGUUUUAUUGUUCUUCACUGAGUUGCUUAGAUUUGGAGUUCUCGUUUCCGUGUGGGAAUAGAUCGAUCGGUUUGGCUGCUUCUUCUAUUAGCAGCUUUGGAUCUUCAAUUACUGUCUCGAUCUUGGUUUAUAAUUCCUGCGUAAUUUGUUACACCAGUAUGCUGUAAAGUGAUUUCUUCUGCUUAUAUAUAUAUGCCUUAUUGACAUUGUUCUGCGUUAAUUUGGAUUUCUAUUCUCUGUUUUCUACCACAAGCUUAGCUUAAUCUGUAGACAUUGUCUCUAUUAAUGGGGUCGUCUUGUUUGAUACCUAGCAACUAUAGACUGUUUCUUCGCUUGUGAUGGAACUUUGUUAUCUUACUGCUGAGCUUAGGAUUCGUGAUUUUUUUUUUUUAAAACUCUCAUGAUGCUGUGAUUUUCUAAUUGACUGAAGUUUACUGCUCUGAAUCAACUUGGUAAGAAAAUCUCAUCUAGUGAUCAGUGGUUCAUUUAGCUUGGUGUUUUUCUUGAGCUGCUUUUGACCCUUGCAAAACUUCUGUUACGUGAUUUUUUUAAUCCUGAGAAGAGUCUAUACAUUAUGCCUAGGUUAAAGCCUUUUUGAAAUGCUAGCUCAGUGACUGUCCUGCCAUUAUAUAAGAUUAUAGAUAUUAUUGCAAGGCCGGAACAAGUUCAAUUCUUUAUA